CAUCAUGCCGCGUGUGUGAAGAAGGCCUUCGGGUUGUAAAGCACUUUUGUCAGGAACGAAACGGUGGGGGCUAAUAUCUCCUGCUAAUGACGGUACCUGAAGAAUAAGCACCGGCUAACUACGUGCCAGCAGCCGCGGUAAUACGUAGGGUGCGAGCGUUAAUCGGAAUUACUGGGCGUAAAGCGUGCGCAGGCGGUUGUGCAAGACAGAUGUGAAAUCCCCGGGCUUAACCUGGGAAUUGCAUUUGUGACUGCACGGCUAGAGUGUGUCAGAGGGGGGUAGAAUUCCACGUGUAGCAGUGAAAUGCGUAGAUAUGUGGAGGAAUACCGAUGGCGAAGGCAGCCCCCUGGGAUAACACUGACGCUCAUGCACGAAAGCGUGGGGAGCAAACAGGAUUAGAUACCCUGGUAGUCCACGCCCUAAACGAUGUCUACUAGUUGUCGGGUCUUAACUGACUUGGUAACGCAGCUAACGCGUGAAGUAGACCGCCUGGGGAGUACGGUCGCAAGAUUAAAACUCAAAAGAAUUGACGGGGACCCGCACAAGCGGUGGAUGAUGUGGAUUAAUUCGAUGCAACGCGAAAAAUCUUACUACCCUUGACAUGUACGGAAACCU
Molecule: ribosomal RNA, 615 nt
Filed under: uncultured archaeon
Lineage: Archaea
Description: bacterial SSU rRNA
Rfam family: Bacterial small subunit ribosomal RNA
Source: RNAcentral